This is a long non-coding RNA of Acanthaster planci (crown-of-thorns starfish), 748 nucleotides long. NCBI's taxonomy places the organism in Eukaryota, Metazoa, Echinodermata, Asteroidea, Valvatida, Acanthasteridae. The record is from RefSeq and is a predicted model, not a curated record.
AACUUGUCGAAAUCUGGCAGUUGUUGUGGCUACUGAAAGGGCAAAUGUUCCCCUAUUUAUUUAUGUUCCUUCCUGCCAAAUGAUGGCUCGCUCUGUUGCAGCACAAAGGACCUGAAAAUUGUUCAAAUCUGGCAGUUUUUGUGGCUACUGAAAAGGCAAAUGUUCCCCUAUUCGUUUAUGGGCUUGGCACCUGAUGAUCUGCGUGGGGACGUAUUAAGUCCUGAACCCCAAACAGGACGGGUGAUGAAGUCAAUGACAACACCAGACCCUUAACUUGCAGAUUCAGCAUGGCGUCGUUUGCCAAAGAAUGUCAGGGUAGUUUCGAAGUUCCUUCCCACGCAGUGAUGGCUCUCUAUGUUGCAGCAUAAAAGACCUGAAAAUUGUCCAAAUCUGGCAGUCCUUGUAACAUCUGGUAGGGCGAGUGUUUCUCUAUCCACUGAUGUUCCUUCCUGCGAAAUGAUGGCUCGCUCUGUUGCAGCACAAAGGACCUGAAAAUUGUCCAAAUCUGGCAGUCUUUGUGGCUACUGAAAGGGCGAAUGUUCCCCUAUUCAUUGAUGUUCCUUCUUGCGCAAUGAUGGCUCGCUCUGUUGCAGCACAAAAGACCUGAAAAUUGUGGAAAUCUGGCAGAAAUCUUAUCAUUCCUUCUUGAGCAAUGAUGGCUCUCUAAGUUGCAGCAUAAAAGACCUGAAAAUUGUCGAAAUCUCGCAGUCCUUGUGGCUUAUUAAAGGGCGAAUGUUCCGUGAUUCAU